UGGGGAAUAUUGCACAAUGGAGGGAACUCUGAUGCAGCGACGCCGCGUGAGUGAUGAAGGAAUUCGUUUCGUAAAACUCUGUUCUAUGGGAAGAAAAGGACUGUACCAUAGGAGAAAGCUCCGGCUAAAUACGUGCCAGCAGCCGCGGUAAUACGUAUGGAGCGAGCGUUCUCCGGAAUUAUUGGGCGUAAAGGGUGCGCAGGCGGCUUUACAAGUUGGAUGUGAAAUAUUGUGGCUCAACCACAAACGUGCAUCCAAAACUGCAAAGCUUGAGUUAAGGAGAGGUAAGUGGAAUUCCUGGUGUAGCGGUGGAAUGCGUAGAUAUCAGGAGGAAUACCGGUGGCGAAGGCGACUUACUGGACUUAAACUGACGCUCAGGCACGAAAGCGUGGGGAGCAAACAGG
RNAcentral lists this ribosomal RNA (404 nucleotides) under Fusobacteriota bacterium. RNAcentral's name for it is "Fusobacteria bacterium partial 16S ribosomal RNA". It matches the Rfam family "Bacterial small subunit ribosomal RNA", at positions 355 to 776 of the family's 1533-position model. The record is from RNAcentral. Lineage: Bacteria; Fusobacteriati; Fusobacteriota.